CACUGCAAAUAAUGCAAGCUUCCCUACUUGACUAGAGAGUAACUCUUAUAAGGGCUUCACUACUUAGCUUUAGGGAAAGGGAGGCAAAGUAAAUAACUGAAAGUAAAGGCAAUAAAAGGAUGGUCGAUAGCUAAAGAGGGAAAAGCCAAAACAUGCAUCCAACCAAGGACCUUGGGGAAAAGGAAAAACAAUAAAAUAAAGACUGAAAUUGAAAACCUAAGUUAAGAAGGAAAGGGCAGUCAGAAGAGGGAAUGAGAGGGGGGAGAGAAGACUUAUGAGAAGCCUACCUACCUGAACUUCAAUACUUGUACUUGAAAAUUGAAUACUUGUUGAGACUUGAAAUAAUACAAGAACUAAAAACCAGAUCUGGAAUAAACCAAAUCUGAAAUUGCUAGUACUAGAGAAGACAAAUCUGAACUUGAAAACUUGUGCUCCACACUUGGUUCAUGUCACUUAGAACUAAGCCUAGAACUAGAAAGUAUAAUUACAAUUGAAUUCCAUGAACAAUAAACCUAAAAAAAGAACUAGUAUUCAUUAAAUAAAAUUCCAAUACAUAACUACUUAAACCAAUAAGUAAGAAGAAGACUAGAAGAAGAACUAGAGAAAAACCUAGAGAAAAUAAAAACCUAAAAGUGAAGUGCUAGAGAGAAAACCCUAAUAGAGAAUUGCUAGAGAAAGAGAUGAAACCCUAAUUGUAAAGUGUAUCCUCUCCCCUCUUGUAUGAUGUUUAUUUAUAGGGAAUAGGGGAGAGGGGGUCCAAUGAUUAGGGUUUGGUUAGGGUUUGAUGAGGUGGAUGAGAGAGAAGAGAGAAAGGGGGUAGAAUCGUAGGAGAUAGGAGAGAGAGAGAGACUCCAAUGAAUUGGGUUUGAUUAGGGUUUGUGAUGAUGUGGAUGAGAGAGAAGACAAAAAGGAUAGAAAAGAGAGGAAUCCUACGACUUGGGUGUGGUUAGGUGGAGGAGAGAGAAGAGAGAGAGGGAGAGAAAUCAUAGGAGAUGAGGCUCUCCACGAUUUGGUUUCCUAAGAAGGGUUUAAUUAGGGUGAUGAUGUGGAAAAUAGGAAGAGAAAAAAAAAAAGGAAAAGAGAUAAAAUAUGAGAGAUCCUAUGUUUUGGUUUCCUAAUUAAGGUUUAAUUAGGGUGAUGAUGUGGAAAAUAGGGAAAAAAAAAAAAGGAAAAGAGAGAAAAUAGGAGAGAGUCCUACGAUUUGGUUCUUUUCUUUUAUUUUUUUUUUUCUUAUUUUCUUUCUCUCUUCUAUCUUGCGCACAAGCUCCCUUGAGCGCCCCUUGCUUCAAGUGAUGAGAAGGAGAGAGAAAAUCUUCCAACCAAAAAAAAAAAAAACUCCAAAAUAUAGCAGCCAAGAAGUUCAAACUUGAGACCUCCUGGUGAGCAAGGGAUUUUGCACACCACAAUUCAUCAACUAUGCUAGGUAGUUGUUGUUACCAAAAAAAGAAUCUUUAAUCACUAAAGGGUGUGGUCCAUCGAUCCUUGUUGGCAUUUAGAACAUUCCUUAUACCCUGGGACAACUGUAGAUGGGUUGGUUCUGUAUAUUGGUUCAGUUCCGAUCCAUUGUUCUUUUUCUGGCCCGAAAAGAAUAACCACUUGUACGGAUGACCAAAUGGGUGUGUACUUUUAAUUGAAAAUUUCCAUCUUACUCAGAAUUUCAUCCUCUUCACAACCAAGAAAAGACACAAGACCUCUUUAUAUGUAAAAUUAGAGAUAUAGCACCCGAUAGUCCUUAAGGCCUUGAAAAUAUAAAACCUACAAAAAGAGAGUAAAACUCAAGGUAGCUCCAUUCUCAAUAUGUAAAAUACAUGUUUUACUACCCUAGAUUUCACACAUAAAUGUGCUCAUCACGUGGCACCAUGAGAUGCUCAGCUUAUUUUGUUAUUCUGAUACCGAAUUGUGAAUGGUAUAUUUUUGGGCUUAUUAUUUAUAAGUCAUGGAUAAUUGUAAUGGAAUAACUCAGUUAUUUAUAUAAUAUCACUGGAUGUUCCCCAUCUUAUGUUAUGAUUUCGAUAUUAUACUUUGAAUCCACUGCUACUGAUUUGGUUGUGUUAUGAGAUUGUGUAUGUUAAGGUAUUGCUAUCAGAGAUCCUGGUAGGUUUGUAAGACGGGUAUACAUCUUACUCACACCAUCGGUAUUCCUAAUGGUAAGUUAGGUUCACUAGAAUUGGGGUGUGACAGUUUCGAACUCCAAUUGAUCAAGAUAAUUGGGUUCACUUUAUGUCUAAAGCUGUUAUUAUAACAUGGCCCAUUAUCAUGCUUCACCUACAGGCUUUCAAGGUGAAGGAGAGAUUUGAGGCCUUAGGUUGGGAGGCUAUGUUUAAGGUAGAGGAAGAAGUGUAUCCAAGGUUAGUCCAUGCUUUCUACUGCAACCUAUCUGGCAAACAUCUUAGCACUAUGGUGUAUAAGAUUAUGAGCUAAGUUGGUGGUGUGGACAUCUCUCUUACCAAAGCCAAGUUUGGACAAAUCAUUGGAGUCUCUUUUGAGGGGAUCAAGACCUAUUGCCCUCCUCAGACUACAAAUACUGAGUUGGAGUUCUUAAAGGUGAAUUUCAUUACGGGUGGUGAAGCUACUUUGGCCCACAUUGCAAAUUGGAGACCUCCACCUUAGGUAUUGUGCAAUACAAUCUUCUUCCUAUCCACGGUCAUUUCAAUGAGUUAUCUUUGAUGCAAGCAUACACAACCUUCUGUCUCUACACUGGGGAGAGGAUCAGUUUACCCUAUCUGAUGUUGCGAUAUAUGGUUUAACGUGCCUAUCGCCCUACUAUUGGCACCUUGUUUUAUAAAAAAAUCCUAACUAAGGUGUUCAGGCAUAUUGGAAUUUGAUUAGAGGGUGAAGAGAGGAACGAGUCACAUGCCAUUCCUUUUGAUUGGGCUAUUCUAGAGAAAAUGCAGUUGCAUGAGUAUGUAGGGAGUGAUCAGGAAGAAGUACCUACAACUGAAGAAGACCUAGAGGAACACUAGGAUGAUGUGCAUUGAAAUGAGGAUGAGCAGCAGGAGGAGGGGACACAACAGAGAGAUGAGCAGCAGUAUGAAGAGGGGGUACAAUUUAGGGAAGAGGAGGAGCACAUGGAUCAUUUUCGUGAAUUCCACCUUAGUAGUGUUGAAAUAAAUCUUGGAUUCACGGAGGAGGAAAUUGAAAAUUUAGGAAUCCUACCUCCACACAUUCCCGAGGAGAGUACCCACAACACCAUUCCUACUAUGGAGGAGACUCAUCAGGCUGGUCACACUUCUUUUCAUACUUAAACUCCCUUUAAUAUUGCUCCAGAGGCUACCCAACCUACUACUUUGACUGGAGAUACUCUAACCUUGCAAGAAGUACCAUACCACAUGGAUAAAGAUUUUACUCAGGUCACCACUAGCUUGAAAGAACUGAGAUCUCAAGUGGCUCAUUGACUUCCAAAGUCAAGUCCAUGGAAGCUACUUUUAAGGGGUGGGCAGAGUGCAUGCGCAUCUCGCCAAACUUCAGACCUCCACGCUUUCGAUCUUAGUCUCAGCGGGCUUCUUCUUCUUCGAGUCACCUGUGGCACUCCCAGCAACAAAGCUCGGCUUCCUCUCUCACUUGUUAUUUGUCUUUGUUCUUCAUAUUUUGUGUACAGAACUGACUUAGAUCAAUUACUUUAGACAUUUUGAUUGUACUUAGUCCUUUUGUGGUUCAUAUGUUCCUUCCCCUUUUUUAUUUCUUUUACCUUCGGGGUUUCUUUCCUUUUGUACUUCUGUCUUUGUUGAAAAGGUUUCCUCUCCUUACAAUACAUCUUGUGUAUAUAAAUCGUAGACAAUAGUUUUAUGUAAUGAAGUUCAGUUAAAUUCUAUUUGCUUCCCCUCUUUUAUCUCUCUAA
Long non-coding RNA from Macadamia integrifolia, 3838 nucleotides. RefSeq lists it as uncharacterized. The transcript is spliced from 2 exons. The record is from RefSeq and is a predicted model, not a curated record. NCBI's taxonomy places the organism in Eukaryota, Viridiplantae, Streptophyta, Magnoliopsida, Proteales, Proteaceae.